Molecule: non-coding RNA, 435 nt
Organism: Salvelinus sp. IW2-2015
Lineage: Eukaryota; Metazoa; Chordata; Actinopteri; Salmoniformes; Salmonidae
Source: RefSeq, a predicted model, not a curated record
CGGCCUUACAAUCACCAUGUCUAGCUAUGUGACAUGGUGGGGAAAGGGAACAAAUGCUUGAUGUUAAACGAAGUGUCUAUGUAUUGUAACACAAUGGCUUAAGUCAUUCCUUACUGUUGCUUUCUGUUACAGUGAUAAGCAUUGACCAUCAACCAAGUGAGAAUCAGGAUACGGAUCAAACAUACAGUCUAAUCUCAGCUGUGCCAGUCGCAGCUGGUGUAAUCUCUCCAACUGAUCCUACAGGAGAUGAGGCACUGUACAGUGUAAUAACUAGAGUGAAAAGACCAGAACAGCAGGGUGAAACUGCCAUCUCUGCCAAAGUGACCAAAACAAAAAAGGAGAAAGAAAAACAGGACCCUGUGUACAGUCUGCUGAACAGAGAGGACACCGUGAUACUGUAGUAGUGCUAUACUGUAGUGCUAUAUAGUAGUGCUA